Loxodonta africana (African savanna elephant) is the source of this 441-nucleotide long non-coding RNA. RefSeq lists it as uncharacterized. The transcript is spliced from 3 exons. Lineage: Eukaryota; Metazoa; Chordata; Mammalia; Proboscidea; Elephantidae. The record is from RefSeq and is a predicted model, not a curated record.
CUUGAAGGCAGGUGCAUUUGGGCUCCUAGCUUCGCCUAAAGCUGAGAUUCUCAACCGUUGCUCCACAAUAGAACAACUUGGGGAAAUUAAAAAGACAAAAACAAACAAAAAAACCCUAAGGCAAUUCACUUCUAGGAAAUUCUCAUAAGAUACAUUCACAGGAAUGUGCUGAAUUCAAUCUCUUUUAAGAUAUAAAAGAUAGAAGCAAGAAGAGAGGAGAGGGACCUCCUGUCACCAAGAAAGAAGAGCCGGGAGUGGAGCAUGUCCUUUGAACCUAGGAUUCCUGCGCUGAGAAAAUCCUACACCCAGGGGAAGACUGAUGAUAAGGACCUUCCCCUAGAGCUGAGAAAGAAAGCAUUCCCCUGGAGCUGGUGCCCUGAAUUCAGACUUCUAGACUCCUAAACUGUGAGAGAAUAAACUUCUGUUUGUUAAAGUCAUCCA